Molecule: long non-coding RNA, 1541 nt
Filed under: Sinocyclocheilus grahami
Lineage: Eukaryota; Metazoa; Chordata; Actinopteri; Cypriniformes; Cyprinidae
Description: lncRNA (ENSSGRG00000024461.1)
Source: RNAcentral
GAUCCUUCUGAGGCUGUUCUAUCAUCUUAGACAUGAAGACAUCCACUGCAGCUUGGGGUUUCAUCUCAUGGCUAUGGAUUUUAAACAUAGUUUUAGUCAAAUAUAUCUGUUGAGAAGAUUCUUCAGAUGACAGCAUUUCUCUCUCUUCCAUAUAAGACAGCCCCUCAAUAGAGGGCAUGGGUUUUUGUAUUGAUGUUUUUCAUUGUGUCUGGACUACCACAGUGAUACAUUCUUCAUUAGGCGCUGUACAAAAUCUCAUAGCCCUCUUAUUUGUGUUUAUAAACUGUAUUGAUACAUUUAAACCAAUAUCUAACUGAAAGACUGAACUAUCACAGAACUAUUCUCUCAAUCUUGAUGCUUUUGUCUUGAAGGCUUUUGUUCCAGCCACCUGUUUGUAUGUGAAUUGAGCAGACAUGGGUAUAUCACGAGGAUGACUGACAGAUGGAAUUACCUUUGAAAGAAUAUCAAGCUGGACUUCUUCGACUGGAUGUUUCACAUCAAACUUUCAGAUCGGUCUUUAGUGUAUUUCUUAAGACGUGCGGAUACUUUGCAUUACUAAAGGAUAUUGUCAAGGGGCUGAAUGAAGUGCAGACCCACUAACUUUUGGAAAUCCCAUCCGUCUCACAGUCAAUCCAAAAGAUGUAGCGCCAACUCCUCCGUUUCUGUCCAUCUUGUCCCCUUUCAAUGGCAAAGGACCAGAUAUUUGUCUGGCCGCCGGGUUCUUUCCUCAAGAAAAGACUAUGACUUUGAAUAUGAAAGUGAAAAAACCUGAGAAUUUUACCACCAGCAAUGCACCUUUGUUCAAAUCGUCCAAAACCUAUUAUUAUGCUGGAUCCUCUGAUGAUGAAAUCCAAAAAUGCCAAAUGGAUGAAGAAACUGCAGACAAAACGCCUGACACUCCUGACACGACAGAUAAACCCGAAAAACUGACUCCACAGUCUUGUGAAACAAAUGCUAGAACUUCUCCCUCAGGGUUCAUAGACACUGGUGAUCCAAAAAUGAACUUCAUGAAUCUUCUUGUGACAGGUCUGAGAAUUCUGCUUGCUAAAUGUGUUGCAGUUAAUGUAAUGAUGACUGUAAAGGCAUUCGUAUUUUAAAAGUUCAAUUCAGCCAAAUCAUCUGAAUAAUCUCAAUUUUGAACUGGAGCUUGAUCGAACCCUGACAAACAAACAAAUGCGGUUAUACAGUCAGCCACAGGGUCAGUAUUAAUCUAUAUUCUGUCUAAUAAUGUUAAAUGGAAUGAAAAUACAAAUUGUUAGUAAUGUCUUUCAUAUAUACAGAAUAUCGACAAACAUUGCAAACCUUUUUGACAUUUAGAAACAUUUCUGAAUUCAGUGGUGUAAUGUGCGUAUUGCUUUGCAAUGGUGUGUGUAUUUUCUGGCUUUAGUUGCAAACAGGUGCAAGUACAUUUUUUGAUACUUUUACUUUUUUUUUUACUUUUUUCUUUUUUUACAUAACAGCAUUGCAUUGUUUAAGACUUUUACAUUGUCUAAUCGUGUAACGGAUUACUAUUUGACUUAACUAUUGAGGCUCUGAUCUUU